This 428-nucleotide ribosomal RNA is filed under the name uncultured bacterium. RNAcentral describes it as "bacterial SSU rRNA". It matches the Rfam family "Bacterial small subunit ribosomal RNA", at positions 354 to 796 of the family's 1533-position model. The record is from RNAcentral.
GUGGGGAAUUUUGCGCAAUGGGGGAAACCCUGACGCAGCAACGCCGCGUGGACGAUGAAGGCCUUUGGGUCGUAAAGUCCUGUCAGCAGGGAAAAACAAAAUGAUGGUACCUGCAGAGGAAGCUCCGGCUAACUUCGUGCCAGCAGCCGCGGUAAUACGAGGGGAGCAAGCGUUGUUCGGAAUCAUUGGGCGUAAAGGGCGCGUAGGCGGCAGUACAAGUCUGGGGUGAAAGCCCUCGGCUCAACCGAGGAAUUGCCUUGGAUACUGUACGGCUUGAGUAUUGGAGAGGAAAGCGGAAUUCCCAGUGUAGCGGUGAAAUGCGUAGAUAUUGGGAGGAACACCGGUGGCGAAGGCGGCUUUCUGGACAAUCACUGACGCUGAGGCGCGAAAGCCAGGGGAGCAAACGGGAUUAGAUACCCGGGUAGUCC